Molecule: long non-coding RNA, 4715 nt
Organism: Mercenaria mercenaria
Lineage: Eukaryota; Metazoa; Mollusca; Bivalvia; Venerida; Veneridae
Exons: 10
Source: RefSeq, a predicted model, not a curated record
CCAAAGCAUGUAGAAAACAACAGUAGUAACAACAAUCUAACGCGAAAGUAAUCUGAUAGAAUCUGUAAGCAAAAUAAUGGAAGAUGAUAAUUCCAGUGAAGAACUGAGUAAAAACGUUCGCAGGGCAGUCGGAGCCAAGUUAGGUAAUGGUAAAAACAAGAAAUCUUUUAAGUUGCUUUAUUGUGCAUCUAUAGACUCUUAUGCCCCUGAUGUAGAAACGUUCCAUCUUCAUUGCGACUCAAAAGCGCCGACAUUGACCAUUUUGCACGGAAACAACACUGUAUUUGGCGGCUACACAAGCAUAUACUGGAGUUCUUCCAAACAUCAUGUUAAGAAAGAUAAACAGGCCUUUUUAUUUUUCAUGAACGAUAAUGAAGGGGCUGUUUGCAAGUUUUUUCCUGUGAAGGACAAUAAAACUGACAUAGCCAUUACAUGUGAUGCAAACUUCGGUCCAACCUUCGGGGCAAAAUCACUUAGGAAUCAUUACGACCUCCAGGUUUUCAAGAAAGAUUCUAAGCCUGAAUCAAAACGAAAAGGAGACUUCCUUCAAUUAAAUGGUGUGUUUGAUAUCGGCAAUGCUUAUAAUACGAACGACGAAGACGGAGGAAAAGUAACGAGCAAGGACAUCAAUUCGGGAAUGUUGAUAGUGAAGAAGAUUGAAGUGUUCCAUGUUUUAGAUGACGAGAAUCCUAAACCGUGGAGAACACAACUUGAGGAUGAACAUGCUAGAAAGAUGAAAGAAGAACUUGUAAUGAAGGAACCUAUACCCGGUUUAGGCAUAAAAAAUACAACAUGCUUCUGAUUGGGACAGUUGGUGUGGGAAAGUCUAGUUUUUACAACACCCUUGCGACUGUUUUCGGAGAUAAAGUAAAGACACAUGCUCCUGCAAGAGAGUCGAAAGGAAGUGUCACAAAUGAGGUUAAAGCAUACACGAUUGAGACAGAAAGAGGUGAGGAACUAUGUGUACGAAUAUUUGAUAUCAGGGGAUUUGAAUCACAGAGAGGAUACGAGCAUGAACUUGCUCUAAUUUUAAAUGGACAAUUAUCUAUCGGCUAUAAAUUUCCAGACAAAAUGUCUGAACCAACGGAGAAAGACAUACGGAAGACUGGAACCUUGGAUGACGAAAUCCACUUACUGUGUUUCUUGACAGGCCCGCCUGAAAAUUAUAACACAGCCCAAAUCCAGGAGAUUGACAACAUUAAACAUAUAACCGACCUGAAAGGUCUGCCAAUGGUUGUUGUAGCAACCAAGUUUGAUGAACAAUGCCUGAGUAUAACAGAGGAUGUGGACCAUCUGUAUAAAUGCAAAAAGUCAGAAGAGAUCACGGCAUAUAUAGCAAAGUUUUUUUAAGAUUCCGGAAAACCUCGUUCUUCCGGUUGUUAAUUACACUUCUGAUGACGAGAAAUCAAAAGGAAAAGACAGACUAGCUCUACAAGCUUUAUAUAAAAUGGUAGAAGUCACAGAGGAGUACUGUGCAAAACAUACAGACAAGAAAACAAAAUCGGAUGAGUUGGAAGAGCGAGGAAAACGGCUUUUAAAGGAAAGAGACGUUGAAAUUAGACGUCUGAGGGAGGAAACGGCGAGAUUUGAAACUAAACAAAUUCGCAUACUUUGUAUUGGACCAAUGCAUUCUGGAAAAACAUGUUUCAUUGAUUCAAUAUCUUCGGCCUUACUGCGAAAGAUUAGCCACAAUAUAGAAGGGCACGGUGCAUCUGGAGGGCUAAGUAAUUGUCCAAACACAAAAAUGUUUCAGAUGUACAAAGUUGGAGACAAAAGAAGCAAUGUAUAUUUUGGUGAUAUGCCCGGGCUCGAAAAAGCUGGCGGUAUUACAACGGAAGAUAUACAAAACAUUGUGGAAGGCAACAUUCCAAAGAAUUUCAUUUUAAAAGAUGCAACCCCAAAAGUUCCACUUGGUAAAGGGGAUAAAAUCCACUGCGUCUGUCUUGUUUUCGAUUGCAAGUCUGUUGCUGCUGGAUUACCGGCUGAAGUUACGAGAACAAUACACACAGUCAAGGAAUUUAUGUCGGAAAAAAUUAAGUUCAGAUCCAUUUAUACUAGAGCAUUAACGUAUACCUUGAAUAGCGAUAUAGAAAUGACAAAGUGAAAUCAAAGUUAUUGACUCAAAAAUAUAUGUAUUUCUAGUAUAUGUGGCUGUCCGAGUGUUUUAUGUUAUAUCGAAUGCAUAGAUGGCAUCUUUUUGCUAUAUUUAGAAAGUUCAUAAACAGACAACAUUACAUUUUUGGAAAGGACUUUAAAAUUACUGAAUUAAUAAAACAAACAAAACCACAGAAUGUAUAACUACGACAAGAUAUAGUCUACUGAAAUGAACAGAAUUUCUCCAUCAAUUCCUGAAAGAGGCUAGUGGUAACCCCAAAAUAAGAACAUUUUACUCUUGAUGGGGACCUUAUAAAAUAUUUUGUUGUUCAAAAUUAUUAUAUUUUUGUGUAGCUGUGGGAAAAUAACCCCCUGUCACUGCACGAUUAAGGUCAUAAAAUCAGUUUGAGGACUUAUAUCAAAAUCGUGUGACAUAUCACUAAAUCAGGGUAUUUCAAUAAUCAAUUUUAUUUAGUGUGUAGAUAUUUAAACGAUGUUUCCAAGAGUGUAUAAGGUAAUAUUUAUUCUGAAUUUAAUGAAAGAUACAUAAUAUUACAAUUACUAGUAUUGGAUAAAAGUUUCAGUAGGUGUUAAACGAUGAUGCAUUUAUUUGAUAAUAUGUCCAAAAGAGCGCUUAGUCAUUGAAUAAAGUCACUAUAUGGAGUUCAGAUACAAAGAAAUUAUUUCGCAUGGGCACAAGCUACAUUUUCAUUCAGGGUAAGUUAUUUCGAUUCUAUUAUGAUAUCAAGGGUUGUUACCUACAUCCUUUGUGACAUCCGCCUAAUAUUUGCUUUCCUUUUGUGGUAUAUUCUAAUGCGCUAUGUCGUCAUACUUGUGUUAUACAAAAUGAUUUUUCGCAUAAUAUCACAAAGUUUCAGUUUUCUUUAUUUAAUAGGAACAUAAAUCGGUCAAACGUAAUGAGUAAUGAACAAAUAUAAAGAUAUACAUUUGUCUCUUAUCUUACCUUGAACAUACCCGCGAAACAAAGUUGAUAUUAACAGUCUCCGGAUUUCGUUUGCAAAUCUGGAAUUUUCGCAAACUCUGCUACCUUUUGUCUUUGACUUUUCUCUGAUUUUUUACAUUAAAUGAUAGGAUAGUUUAUACCUUAAAGAAUGAAUUCAUGGGAGGAUUUCAAAGUUGGUCCUUCCAUGGGAGUAUAUUUCUCCCAUGGGGUUUUUGCUAGCCCAUGGGGGGUCCCGCGGGUGAUUUUCUCCCACUUUACCAAUUACGGGAGAAAACAAAACGUGUUUUUGUUUUUCUGAAAUUUUUAGAUCAAAAUAUUUUAACUCAGAUUAAUGAUGUAUACAAUAAAAAAACUCUUCUGACAUUAUUUCGAGUUGAAAAACGACUUUGGAAGAAAAAAAUCUCCCAUAUUCGUUAUGGGAGGAAACCCCCCACUGGAGACUGGAUGAUUUUUGAAAUUGCAUUUAAUGUUUCACUUUUUGCCAAUUAAUUAUAAUUUUAUCAAUAUCAACUUAAAUCUAACUUAAAGAUGUAUUACUGUGCGAAAUAAAACCCCGCGAGUGAAAACCUCCCAUUGUUUUAAAUGGGAGCACAUUUCCAUGGGAGGUUAGAAAAUAAAUAAGAAUAGAUAUUGUGACAUUUUAACAGAACAAAACAUCAGUAUUUUAUUUUAAUACUAAUAUUCCAGUAACUUUUGGGUUUCUGCUCAGCGAAAAUAUUAGACAUUAUAUAAUUAUACAAUGCCACCGCCAAGAUUAAACACAGGCCGCCUUGCUGGUUAUGACCGUAGCAUUGCGAUCUAAACGAUGUCACAUAAUUAGACGGGGUCAUAAAACUUACUGAAGCAUAUACGAUAUAUUUGACCUGACAAAUAUGCACCGUGGGACUUUUUUUAAUCCAAAAUAUAAAAAAUACAGGAUAUUACAUGAAAAUCUCCUUUUAAAUUUAGGUUCACAAUGAAAAACAUAUAUAAUUCUAACCCGAUCUGCAUCUGUCAAAAUGGUAGUGUCAAAGGCUUAAAUCAUUAUUAUGCACUCUCUUUCUUAUUUGAAAUACCUAGUGUAUCUCCAUCAAAUGUAUUCUUCAUAUAGUUGUUAAAAGAUACGAUGCAAAGAAAUCAACAAUUUUCAAUUAAUGACAUUAUUAACAAAACAAACUUUGGACGAUCAGUUUCAUAUGUUUUACCCUAGAAUCAACUGUUCCAAGAGUUCGUUGUUUGAGAUAUGUGAAAGGAAAUGGCCAAUUAUGUCUCUAUGAGACCCGAACUGUUGUUAGAUGUCACAAUAUCACAUAAAAGUCGAAGAUAAAAGAUAGCUAAGUUUGCGAAAAUUCCAGAGUUGCAAACUAAAUCCGGAGACUGUUUAUUGAAAUGUAUUUUGUGUGCCUUUUUUAUGUAUUGAAAAGGCGAUUCAAAAGAUACGAAAAAUAAGGUAAUGCUCACAACGAAGGCUUAAUUUUAUGAAAAUUAUAAUCAAAUUUCCGUAGGCGUUAUUCAAUAUAAAAAUGAACAUACUAGGACGGGUAUCUGCAUGAAGCUAAAUACAUCGUUCUUGACGAAGAUGCUGGAAACUGUAUCUCGUGCUUUGCGAUCUGCUGAAUCUUGAUUUGAAAAAAUGAGUCGUCUUACAUUUCAAAAUUUAAAUAUGUGAUCACUUUAU